AGGAAGGGCAGGGUUAUUAUCCGUCUUGCUCUGCCAUACCCCAGAGCCUGGAACACUGUGCGGCAAACAGUCGGUGCUCAGCAGAUGCGUCCAGAGUGAAUGAAGUGUGUCCACUGUGCUCUUGUGAGAAUGCUUUCUUCUAAUUUGUGAUGUUUCUGCCUAAAGAAGGUCAAGUUGCCAGCCUGACUUUGGUAGAUGGGAACCACUGGUGAGAACUCCACCUGCUUCCCUCAAGACGGACCUAUCUGUUAUGUAUUCUGAGGCAGGCACUUUGCUGGGGGCGCACACAGGAUUCCAAAACCCACUGUGAAAAUGCACACCCCAGGGAGUGCAUUCAGACUGGAAAGCAGGCUCUUUUAUCUUUCUUUUUAUUGAUAUUGCAUUUGAAAAAUACAUACAUACAAUCAAUAAAAUACACAAAGUGAGGUUUCUUUCUCACCUCGAACCCCUACAUUCCACUUCUCCUCUCCAGAAGCAACCUUUGUUAGUUUCUUUUUUAGCUUUCCUGAGGUAUUUCAUGCAUUUAUAAGCAUUUUUUUCUUUUUUCACAGGUGAUAACACACCAUACAUGCUCUUCAGCAUGUGACUUCUUUCACUUAACAAUAUGUCUGGGAGGCACCUCCACCUCAGAGCAUAAAGAGCUCUCUUUGAAAAGGCCACAGAAUAUUCCAUUAGGUGGAUGUACAGGACUUAACCUGCUAUUGUCCAUCGGCACGAAGAAUGCAGAGGCUUCUUUGAUCUUUGCAGCACGGCGCCCUUGCACAAUGACUGGGUCACAGCAGCACUCCGGAUGAACAUGCCCCGCCGGGGGUAGAGCUGGUAACUGGGAGGACUUGGGCUGAGAGCUGGUGGACCAGAUCUUGGGUUGAAUUCUCCCAGAAGUAGAGAAAGAUGGAGUUCAGAAGAUUGUUUGGAAACGCAUUUCUGGAAGCCCCCCUGGGGAGCGGGGAAGGGAGACAAACCUGUUCAGAGUAUUGAUGGGUAGUUAGCACCGUGGACAAGCAGAACUCAACACUGUAGGGGCCUUGGGAGAUGGCAGGGACAUGCUUCACAGCAGCCCACCUGAGGGGCAAGGAAGCUGGAGUAUUUAUCCCACCAACAUCCAUUCCUCAUUGGCCAGAGGUGUCUUGGGAGGGAGUAGGGGGUUGAGUCUCCAAUCAGCCCUGCUUAAAGCUGGGGAGAGAAGCUGUUGGGUUGGCCUCCAUAGGAUUUUUAUAGAAAAAUCUCCCAAUUGCUAAAUGUUGGCAAAUGAUCCCCAAUUUUCUUUUCCUUUUUUUUUCUUUAUUUUGAGACAAGGUCUCACUCUGUUGCCCAGGCUGGAGUGCAGUGGUGUGGUCAUGGCUCACCGCAGCCUCAACUUCCUGGGCCCAAGCGAUCCUCCUGCCUCAGCCUCCUAAGUAGCUGGGACCACAGGCAUACACCACCACACCCAGCUAAUUUUUAAAUUUUUUUUUGAGAUGGGGUCUCCGUAUGUUGCCCAGGCUGGUCUCUAAUUCCUGGACUCAAUCAAGCAAUCCUCCUGCCUUGGCCAAGGCAGGCAGAUCGCUUGAGGCCAGGAGUUCGAGACUAGCCUAGCCAACAUGUCAAAGUCUCUUAUCUACUAAAGAUACAAAAAAAUUAACUAGGUGUGGUGGUGCACGCUUGUAAUCCCAGCUACUCGGGAGACUGAGGCAUAAGAGUUGCUUGAAACCAGGAGGCAGAGGUUGGAGUGAGCAGAAAUCACGCCACUGCAUUCCAGCCUAGGUGACAGAGUGAGACUCUGUCUCAAAAAUAAAAAUAAAAAUUCCAUGAAGUCAGAGAGAGCUGACAAUUUACUCCUCCUCAGUUGAUUAUACCUCAGCUUACUUUUUUCUUUUUUUAUUAUACUGAAAAGUUGCAAAAUACCUCAGUUUAUAUGAGUUUUCCAGAUUAAAAUAUUAUUGCUUUUUAGUGAAAUCUUUACAGAUGAAAUGAUGUUUGGGAUUUGUUUCAAGGUAAUAUAGGAGGUGAAAAGUGGGUCAAGUAUAGAUACGGAAAGAUUGGUCAUGGAUUGAUAAGAAUUAAAUUGGGUCACAAUAGUCAUAUACUAUUUUUUAUUUUAUUUUAUUUUAUUUUUUGAGAUGGAGUGUCACUCUGUCGCCCAGGCUAGAGUGUAGUGGCACAACCUCGGCUCGGUGCAACCUCCGCCUCCUGGGUUCAAGCAAUUCUUGUGCCUCAGCCUCCUGAGUAGCUGGGAUUACAGGCGUGGGCCACCAUGCCUGGCUAAUUUUUAUAUUUUUUAUAGAGACAAGAUUUUGCCAUGUUAGCCAGGCUGAUCUCAAACUCCUGACCUCAAGUCAUCCACCCACGUCAGUGUCACAAAGUGCUGGGAUUACAGGCCUGAGCCACCAUGCCUGGCCUAGUCAUAUACUAUUUUUAUAAAUGCCAAACAUUUUAUGUAAUAAAAUUUUGAGGGAAA
RNAcentral lists this long non-coding RNA (2437 nucleotides) under Homo sapiens (human). RNAcentral's name for it is "HSALNT0264855". Lineage: Eukaryota; Metazoa; Chordata; Mammalia; Primates; Hominidae. The record is from RNAcentral.